RNAcentral lists this long non-coding RNA (219 nucleotides) under Elaeis guineensis (African oil palm). RNAcentral describes it as "long non-coding RNA (EGUI_LNC061572)". The record is from RNAcentral. Lineage: Eukaryota; Viridiplantae; Streptophyta; Magnoliopsida; Arecales; Arecaceae.
GAGGCUCUAGGGCUAGUUGGGCCCUAGGUUGAAAGGCUGUGGGCCUUUCAGGUUCUUGAGGUCUAGGUUAUGUGGGCCUCAAAGGACCAACUCUUUAUGGGCCAGGUCUGGACCCAGAAUAGAUGAGAUUAGGUCGAGUCAUGGGUGUACAUGGGCUUGGGUUAACCUAAUCUCCCAUAGAGUUGGUCAAGGGAGUUUUGGGUUUGGAUCACUUGACCA